Molecule: long non-coding RNA, 697 nt
Filed under: Homo sapiens (human)
Lineage: Eukaryota; Metazoa; Chordata; Mammalia; Primates; Hominidae
Description: HSALNT0228049
Source: RNAcentral
CUCAUCUGUGGCUCUGAAAAUGAAGAUUUGGAAGGAGAUCAUCACAGCUAAUGUUAACAAGCCCCUCCUGUGUGCCAAAUCAUUCACCCCUCACCACAACCAAAUGAGCUAAGGAUUCUCGUUAUAUAUAGUUUAUGGAGAGGGAAGUGCAGACAUAAAGAGGUGAAUUAUCUUACCCAGAUCACACAGCUGAUAAGUGGUGGAGGCAGAAUAGAAUCUAAACAGUGUGGCUCCGGAGCCCACAUGCAUUGAUUCGACAAGUGUUUAUUGAGCACCUGCCGCGGACAAGGCCUUGUGUGAUUAAAUAGGGUUAUAAUUAGUAAUAUAAAAAUGAGAAAUCACUAAUGCUUUUUAGACUUAACAUUUUCUUUCUUUGUAGGUUUCAGGCACAGAACUGUAUAUCCAAUAAUAGUGAAAUGGAUCCCACUAAUUAUGACCGAAAUGAUGAUACAUUUAAAUGACUUGGAUGUUUUAUAGGUAUGAUCUCGUGAAACCUUGAGAGAAACUGAAUGACGAAUGAAACUAUUGUUCCUGUUUCACACAGAAGAAAACUGAGGUUAAAAGGGGUAAAGUAAUUUUGCAUGGCAUGAAGUAGAAAUUCAAAGUACAGGAAUUUGAACUUGGUUCUGUCCUUUUCUGAAGCCCUUGACCACUAUAGACUCAAACAUCACCUUGUUUUUCCACUCAUUCAACACUU